This is a non-coding RNA of Potamilus streckersoni, 73 nucleotides long. The record is from the annotation of a GenBank genome assembly. Lineage: Eukaryota; Metazoa; Mollusca; Bivalvia; Unionida; Unionidae.
GCCCCGGUGUCCUAGUGGUUAGAGCGUUCGCCUCGGAUGCGGGAGAUCGUGGAUUCGAUCCCCAGUCGUGUCA